Apodemus sylvaticus (European woodmouse) is the source of this 586-nucleotide non-coding RNA. The record is from the annotation of a RefSeq genome assembly. NCBI's taxonomy places the organism in Eukaryota, Metazoa, Chordata, Mammalia, Rodentia, Muridae.
ACUUCCUUAUUUGAUGACUACUUUGCAUAGGUUCUUAACAGACCAGACCAUCUCCCCAUGAUUUAUAAACCAGACCUUAGCAGUGUGAUCUGAAAUGCCUCAGGCAAGCAUCGGCAUCAAGAUGGAGUCACAGACUCAGGUCUUCAUAUUUGUGUUGCUCUGGUUGUCUGGUGUUGAUGGAGACAUUGUUAUGACCCAGACACAAAAAUCCAUAUCCACAUUAGUAGGAGACAGGGUGCUCAUGAACUGCAAGGCCAGUCAGAAUGUGGCUACAAUUGUGAAUUGGUACCAACAGAAACCAGGGCAGUCUCCUAAACUGCUGAUAUAUGGGGCAUCUAACAGGUUCACUGGGGUCCCUGAUCGUUUCACAGGCAGUAGAUCUUGGAAAGAUUUCAAUCUCACCAUCAGUAGUGUGCAGGCUGAAGACCUGGCAGAUUAUUACUGUGCACAGCUUUAUAGCUAUCCUCCCACAGUGCAUCAGCAUCCUGCACAAACCUCCUCUGAGAUUCUAACCGCCUGCCUGAACCACACCACACAUCCCCAGACCUACACACUUCCUCUUCUGCAGAGUUUGGUAGAAAAUUAA